CGGGACGGGUGAGUAAUGUCUGGGAAACUGCCUGAUGGAGGGGGAUAACUACUGGAAACGGUAGCUAAUACCGCAUAACGUCGCAAGACCAAAGAGGGGGACCUUCGGGCCUCUUGCCAUCGGAUGUGCCCAGAUGGGAUUAGCUAGUAGGUGGGGUAACGCUCACCUAGGCGACGAUCCCUAGCUGGUCUGAGAGGAUGACCAGCCACACUGGAACUGAGACACGGUCCAG
Molecule: ribosomal RNA, 232 nt
Filed under: uncultured bacterium
Lineage: Bacteria
Description: partial 16S ribosomal RNA
Rfam family: Bacterial small subunit ribosomal RNA
Source: RNAcentral